AGGUACGCUGAUAAAAUAAAUGGUGUCGAAAUAAAACGGACCUUAGCAGCGGCCUUCUUGCCGGUCGCCUUGCAUGCGACCUGCAGAGCCUUGCGCGAGGUGGCGAGAGCGAAAGCCAUUUUAGAUGUUCGUAAGGUGAUCAGACUCUGCUGCACAAAGGAGAGAACUGAUACCGGAAACACAGGCAACCAGCGCUUUUGUUUUGCAAGCAAAUCUUGAUGCCGUACGCACGCCGUAUCCCUGUCCUGUCCGUGGGACAGGGCGCUUACCUAACAGAGAUCGCAGGAUACAGACAUGGCACACCUGCAACACAUGCGCUUAACAGCUAUCUGCACCUGCACAGAUUGGCAUGAACGAUUUGCUACACCUGCUUGCAAGUUUCAUACAAGUUUCUGAUGCAAGGAUAACUCAGUGGCGACUGUAUAAAUGCUGUGACGUGCACGCUGAACAUGGAUUUUGAUACGCACUGCAAAGCAUUCUUUAGGCGCCAAAAGUGGUCUCUCCAUGUUUGACCCUAGCUGUUCGGCCUUUACUCAUUACCAGUACCGUAGGACGGGAGGACAGUAGCUGUUGUCCUUGCUAGGAAGCAAGCUGAUAUAAUGGGUCACGCUGCUUAGGACGGCAAAGGGCAUUCCAUCCCGGACAGGGCCGGUGAACACAAGGUCCAAGCUCUGCUGGACCGCAAAAGGGCGACAGCGCCGAACCGGAGGCCGUUUAGGACCGAAGGAAGGCAACAAGCACGUCCGUAGCAACCUGUCGUAGCAACACAUCCGAUCAAGGGAGGACGGGCGGCCUCAACCAAACGCAUGAGCUCUUCGCAACUUACAAUCGGCCACGGGCUUCCAAACGUCGGAGCCUAAGGCUGGCACCUGGGAAAAGCUCCUACUUUGCCCAUGGCUUGCCUUUGACCUCUGAAGUACUGAACGGAACGCCAGCACGCCCUCUGUUUGUUACCUCUUUUGCCAGGGGUUUCACAACGCACGCUACAUGUUCAGCACUCCACGCAUGCUUAGCUUCAGGCUAUCCAUUAAACCGUGGUGAAAGGAACAAAGACGAACCUCUUGUGACCAGCAGUUUUAUGCAUAAAAUCGCGGGGCAGUAUCAGAUAGACAAGGGACAGCGGGUAGCCUAUUUGUGUGUGUCGUCCUGCCUUUCUGGGGGAGUACUGGAACCAUGGCACUGGCAUACGGUGUUCGGUUCUUAAGCUACGGGAGCAGGUGGUCAAACCAUUGGCGAUGCUGCAUGCUCUGGCCUUGCGGAUGCGAAACUGAUCGAAAGGGGCCUGCCAGCCAGGGUGAUACUGAAAGCAGUAGCCAGCAUGCAGCGGCGUCCAUCUGGUUGCCGAGCUUUUAAGACUCCAUAUCAUUGCACGUCCCAUGGUUCUACACCGGACUGUAAUCCAGGUAACGGCAUCACUCAUUACAAGGCUCCAGUCCGACUUCGUGCCUUUUUCCUUCGACUUAAGUGUGGCGUGUGCGUGUGUAUGUGAGUGUGUAUAUGUGCGUGUGUGUGUAUGCGUGUGUGUGUGUGCGUGUGUGUGUGUGUGUGCGUGUGCGUGUGCGUGUGUGUGUGUGUGUGCGUGUGUGUGUGUGUGUGUGUGCAUGUGUGUGCGCGUGUGUGCAUGUGUGUGCGCGUGUGUGCAUGUGUGUGGGUGUGGGUGUGCGUCUGUGUGUUUCUGCAUGACAAGAAAAAGAAAGAGAGUGAGUGUGUGGUUUGUGUUUGUGAGUUUGUGUGUGUUUGUGUUUGUAAGUAUGUGUGUGUUGGGGUGUGUGUGUGUGAUUUUUUGUUAUGCAUAUCGACAGGUUUUUCGUGGUGCUGAUGCUGUGCUAUCCGAAACGGGACACAUAAGCCCGAGGCGAGCGCCACAAUAAGCCUUCUUGGUGCAACGGGGUACCUUCCAGUGGCAACGUAGUUCCUGGCUGUGAGGAAGGUAGCGAGCCUGGUUCGCGGAGGCCGAGGCCGCUGUACGCAAGAGGGAUUGGCGAUGACCUAUGCCGCGCCAGUGAUGAUGUCGGCGGGGAGUGACCUACCAACGUGGUUUGCUGAAGUUUAACUCUUGCACUGUACGACAACCGAGGCCAUCAACCCGCGAUUAAGCGCCUAGCUCACUUCGCUAACACAGGAUAGCCACGAUAACCCUUGGCUUCGUUGCGUAAUAGAGCGUGGCCAUAUGCACCUCGAAUCAUCCCUCUGAAUGACAUGUUCCUUUAGCUCGUGUCUCGCGCGUGUUCUCCAUGUGUGCCUGUUUGCGUGGCCGCCUUUGCAGUACGCGCCCACCAAAAUGGCUGUAUGUGCUCCCGCCCCAAGAAGCGGUGAAACAAGCACUGGAACCGAGACCUUCCUUAUGUCAUGAACACCGAAAUGUUACAGGAGCUUGCUUGGCGCAACGCACCCAGCACGUGCAUGCGCUUUGUAUGAAGCUCUUGAUAUCUCACGUCUCACCGCCCAAUACCCCACCCAAAAGUAAGAGCUCCACCUCAACACCCGUGCUGUGGGAAACCCCUACUAGGAAACACCCACAUCAAAACUUCAGGCCCGUAACAGGACCGCUUCCGCCGCUGCUCACCACUCACCACGCGGGAACUCAUCGCAGGAACACGACAUCAAAAACAGAGGUGGCCACAGUGCGACAACGAGGUUCGAUGGAAUAACUGACAAGCACCCACGCAUCACUCAACAGUUUUGGCAAGCUGCGCNNNNNNNNNNNNNNNNNNNNNNNNNNNNNNNNNNNNNNNNNNNNNNNNNNNNNNNNNNNNNNNNNNNNNNNNNNNNNNNNNNNNNNNNNNNUUCAUACAGUUUCUGAUGCAAGGAUAACUCAGUGGCGACUGUAUAAAUGCUGUGACGUGCACGCUGAACAUGGAUUUUGAUACGCACUGCAAAGCAUUCUUUAGGCGCCAAAAGUGGUCUCUCCAUGUUUGACCCUAGCUGUUCGGCCUUUACUCAUUACCAGUACCGUAGGACGGGAGGACAGUAGCUGUUGUCCUUGCUAGGAAGCAAGCUGAUAUAAUGGGUCACGCUGCUUAGGACGGCAAAGGGCAUUCCAUCCCGGACAGGGCCGGUGAACACAAGGUCCAAGCUCUGCUGGACCGCAAAAGGGCGACAGCGCCGAACCGGAGGCCGUUUAGGACCGAAGGAAGGCAACAAGCACGUCCGUAGCAACCUGUCGUAGCAACACAUCCGAUCAAGGGAGGACGGGCGGCCUCAACCAAACGCAUGAGCUCUUCGCAACUUACAAUCGGCCACGGGCUUCCAAACGUCGGAGCCUAAGGCUGGCACCUGGGAAAAGCUCCUACUUUGCCCAUGGCUUGCCUUUGACCUCUGAAGUACUGAACAGAACGCCAGCACGCCCUCUGUUUGUUACCUCUUUUGCCAGGGGUUUCACCACGCACGCUACAUGUUCAGCACUCCACGCAUGCUUAGCUUCAUGCUAUCAAUUAAACCGUGGUGAAAGGAACAAAGACGAACUUCUUGUGACCAGCAGUUUUAUGCAUAAAAUCGCGGGGCAGUAUCAGAUAGACAAGGGACAGCGGGUAGCCUAUUUGUGUGUGUCGUCCUGCCUCUCUGGGGGAGUACUGGAACCAUGGCACUGGCAUACGGUAUUCGGUUCUUAAGCUACGGGAGCAGGUGGUCAAACCAUUGGCGAUGCUGCAUGCUCUGGCCUUGCGGAUGCGAAACUGAUCGAAAGGGGCCUGCCAGCCAGGGUGAUACUGAAAGCAGUAGCCAGCAUGCAGCGGCGUCCAUCUGGUUGACGAGCUUUUAAGACUCCAUAUCAUUGCACGUCCCAUGGUUCUACACCGGACUGUAAUCCAGGUAACGGCAUCACUCAUUACAAGGCUCCAGUCCGACUUCGUGCCUUUUUCCUUCGACUUAAGUGUGGCGUGUGUGUGUGCCUGUGUGUGUGCCUGUGUGUGUGUGCCUGUGUGUGUGUGUGUGUGUGUGUUCUGCAUGACAAGAAAAAGAAAAAGAGUGAGUGUGUGGCUUGUGUUUGUGAGUUUGUGUGAGCUUGUGUGUGUUUGUAUGUGUUUGUGUUUGUGAGGAUGUGUGUGUUUGUGAUUUUGUGUUAUGCAUAUCGACAGGUUUUUCGUGGUGCUGAUGCUGUGCUAUCCGAAACGGAACACAUAAGCCCGAGGCGAGCGCCACAAUAAGCCUUCUUGGUGCAUCGGUGCAUAAGCCACAAUAAGCCUUCUUGGUGCAUCGGGGUACCUUCCAGUGGCAACGUAGUUCCUGGCUGUGAGGAAGGUAGCGAGCCUGGUUCGCGGAGGCCGAGGCCGCUGUACGCUUGAUGUUCCUUUAGCUCGUGUCUCGCGCGUGUUCUCCAUGUGUGCCUGUUUGCGUGGCCGCCUUUGCAGUACGUACCCACCAAAAUGGCUGUAUGUGCUCCAGACCCAAGAAGCGGUGAAACAAGCACUGGAACCGAGACCUUCCUUAUGUCAUGAACACCGAAAUGUUACAGGAGCUUGCUUGGCGCAACGCAUCCAGCAUGUGCAUGCGCUUUGUAUGAAGCUCUUGAUAUCUCACGUCUCGCCGCCCAAUACCCCACCCAAAAGUAAGAGCUCCACCUCAACACCCGUGCUGUGGGAAACCCCUACUAGGAAACACCCACAUCAAAACUUCAGGCCCGUAACAGGACCGCUUCCGCCGCUGCUCACCACUCACCACGCGGGAACUCAUCGCAGGAACACGACAUCAAAAACAGAGGUGGCCACAGUGCGACAACGAGGUUCGAUGGACAUAACUGACAAGCACCCACGCAUCACUCAACAGUUUUGGCAAGCUGCGCAUCCAAGCGUAUUUACCCAACAGCGACGGAUAGGCAACUACUGCCUGCAAUUGCUAUGCAUGUGACGUCUCGUAUACCGGUAUUGGCAGUUUAUUGGUUAUGCUGUGUCUACGUUCACAUAGCUAAACAACGUAACGUAGCUGAAGGCAGCAGCGGCCGGCAGAUGCGGACAACCGCUUCGACUAGCAAACGUAGCAGCGAUACAUUACGCGCUGGGCGUGAACUUGGUGGCGAAGGCGAAGGCGUUGUUGACGGCCGGGUUGGCCAGAUGGUCGUUCAGGUUCUCAAUGGGCCCCUUGCCGGUCACAAUGGCCUGCACGAAGAAGCCGAACAUGGAGAACAUGGCCAGGCGGCCGUUCUUGAUCUCCUUGACCUGAGCNNNNNNNNNNNNNNNNNNNNNNNNNNNNNNNNNNNNNNNNNNNNNNNNNNAAAGCAUUUAGAUGUUCGUAAGGUGAUCAGACUCUGCUGCACAAAGGAGAGAACUGAUACCGGAAACACAGGCAACCAGCGCUUUUGUUUUGCAAGCAAAUCUUGAUGCCGUACGCACGCCGUAUCCCUGUCCUGUCCGUGGGACAGGGCGCUUACCUAACAGAGAUCGCAGGAUACAGACAUGGCACACCUGCAACACAUGCGCUUAACAGCUAUCUGCACCUGCACAGAUUGGCAUGAACGAUUUGCUACACCUGCUUGCAAGUUUCAUACAAGUUUCUGAUGCAAGGAUAACUCAGUGGCGACUGUAUAAAUGCUGUGACGUGCACGCUGAACAUGGAUUUCGAUACGCACUGCAAAGCAUUCUUUAGGCGCCAAAAGUGGUCUCUCCAUGUUUGACCCUAGCUGUUCGGCCUUUACUCAUUACCAGUACCGUAGGACGGGAGGACAGUAGCUGUUGUCCUUGCUAGGAAGCAAGCUGAUAUAAUGGGUCACGCUGCUUAGGACGGCAAAGGGCAUUCCAUCCCGGACAGGGCCGGUGAACACAAGGUCCAAGCUCUGCUGGACCGCAAAAGGGCGACAGCGCCGAACCGGAGGCCGUUUAGGACCGAAGGAAGGCAACAAGCACGUCCGUAGCAACCUGUCGUAGCAACACAUCCGAUCAAGGGAGGACGGGCGGCCUCAACCAAACGCAUGAGCUCUUCGCAACUUACAAUCGGCCACGGGCUUCCAAACGUCGGAGCCUAAGGCUGGCACCUGGGAAAAGCUCCUACUUUGCCCAUGGCUUGCCUUUGACCUCUGAAGUACUGAACGGAACGCCAGCACGCCCUCUGUCUGUUACCUCUUUUGCCAGGGGUUUCACAACGCACGCUACAUGUUCAGCACUCCACGCAUGCUUAGCUUCAGGCUAUCCAUUAAACCGUGGUGAAAGGAACAAAGACGAACUUCUUGUGACCAGCAGUUUUAUGCAUAAAAUCGCGGGGCAGUAUCAGAUAGACAAGGGACAGCGGGUAGCCUAUUUGUGUGUGUCGUCCUGCCUCUCUGGNGGAGUACUGGAACCAUGGCACUGGCAUACGGUAUUCGGUUCUUAAGUUACGGGAGCAGGUGGUCAAACCAUUGGCGAUGCUGCAUGCUCUGGCCUUGCGGAUNNNNNNNNNNNNNNNNNNNNNNNNNNNNNNNNNNNNNNNNNNNNNNNNNNNNNNNNNNNNNNNNNNNAAGGACACUGCAAAUACGUAUGUGCGUCUAUGUAAAGUACGCUGAUAAAAUAAAUGGUGUCGAAAUAAAACGGACCUUAGCAGCGGCCUUCUUGCCGGUCGCCUUGCAUGCGACCUGCAGAGCCUUGCGCGAGGUGGCGAGAGCGAAAGCCAUUUUAGAUGUUCGUAAGGUGAUCAGACUCUGCUGCACAAAGGAGAGAACUGAUACCGGAAACACAGGCAACCAGCGCUUUUGUUUUGCAAGCAAAUCUUGAUGCCGUACGCACGCCGUAUCCCUGUCCUGUCCGUGGGACAGGGCGCUUACCUAACAGAGAUCGCAGGAUACAGACAUGGCACACCUGCAACACAUGCGCUUAACAGCUAUCUGCACCUGCACAGAUUGGCAUGAACGAUUUGCUACACCUGCUUGCAAGUUUCAUACAAGUUUCUGAUGCAAGGAUAACUCAGUGGCGACUGUAUAAAUGCUGUGACGUGCACGCUGAACAUGGAUUUU
This 6916-nucleotide long non-coding RNA is filed under the name Volvox carteri. Its description in RNAcentral is "long non-coding RNA (VCAR_LNC003532)". Lineage: Eukaryota; Viridiplantae; Chlorophyta; Chlorophyceae; Chlamydomonadales; Volvocaceae. The record is from RNAcentral.